UAGGGAGACCAAACUUCGGUUGAGCUAACCCCAAUUUACAAGCCAACUGAGGUCAUCCCAGGUCGUGCGAGGAAUUGAGUAACUACUAGGCUUUCAAACUUUCGGUUCGGAUAUUAUUAAAUACUUAACUACUGAAUCUCUCUUUAAAAAAGAGAUAAACAGUGCAGCACCUAAAAUUCUAAUAAAAGAGGCUUUAGGAUGCUGGACGAAAGUUCAGUCAGAACCUGGAAAACUGCAUAGAGAAUCAGGCAAAAGGUAAGACCGUAACAGACUUUUCAAAUGAGA
This 285-nucleotide unclassified non-coding RNA is filed under the name Lyngbya sp. 2E11. Its description in RNAcentral is "partial 16S-23S ribosomal RNA intergenic spacer". The record is from RNAcentral. Lineage: Bacteria; Bacillati; Cyanobacteriota; Cyanophyceae; Oscillatoriales; Microcoleaceae.